Molecule: non-coding RNA, 72 nt
Organism: Pneumocystis murina
Lineage: Eukaryota; Fungi; Ascomycota; Pneumocystomycetes; Pneumocystales; Pneumocystaceae
Source: Rfam
GGGGAUAUAGUUUAAAGGGUAAAACACAUAUUUUGCAUGUCUGAAUUAUGGAUUCGAUUUCCAUUAUCUCCA